RNAcentral lists this ribosomal RNA (329 nucleotides) under uncultured eukaryote. RNAcentral's name for it is "partial 18S ribosomal RNA". It matches the Rfam family "Eukaryotic small subunit ribosomal RNA", at positions 592 to 976 of the family's 1831-position model. The record is from RNAcentral.
CAGUAGCGUAUAUUAAAGUUGUUGCAGUUAAAAAGCUCGUAGUUGCCAGUUCAAGGAGAGUCUUCUUCCAAGGAGAAUCUGUCUGAUAGCUUUCUUUGAAAGUUCAAUUAUUUUGAGAAAAAUAGCGUGUUUCAUGCGGGCCAGUGCUGAGAUAGUGUACCAUGGAAUGAUCUUGUGGCCAGUCCUAUCAAUUUUUGAUUUUUGAUGUUCUGGCGCGUGAUUUCGAGAAGUACUCGGGGGUAUUUGUAUUGGACAGUCAGAGGUGAAAUUCUAAGAUUUGUUCAAGACAAAACUAAGGCGAAAGCAUCUGCCAAGGAUGCAUUUUCUAA